AUUCCAGCUCCAAUAGCGUAUAUUAAAGUUGUUGCAGUUAAAAAGCUCGUAGUUGGAUUUCUGGCAGGAGCGACCGGUCACACACUCUGUGUGUGAACUUGCGUUGUCUCUGGCCAUCCUCGGGGAGAUCCUGUUUGGCAUUAAGUUGUCGGGCAGGGGAUACCCGUCGUUUACUGUGAAAAAUUAGAGUGUUUAAAGCAGGCUUAUGCCGUUGAAUAUAUUAGCAUGGAAUAAUAAGAUAGGACUUCGGAACUAUUUUGUUGGUUUGCGUUACGAAGUAAUGAUUAAUAGGGACAGUUGGGGGUAUUCGUAUUUCGUUGUCAGAGGUGAAAUUCUUGGAUUUCCGAAAGACGAACUACUGCGAAGGCAUCUACCAAGGAUGUUUUCAUUA
Molecule: ribosomal RNA, 391 nt
Filed under: Thalassiosira sp.
Lineage: Eukaryota; Bacillariophyta; Thalassiosirophyceae; Thalassiosirales; Thalassiosiraceae
Description: partial small subunit ribosomal RNA
Rfam family: Eukaryotic small subunit ribosomal RNA
Source: RNAcentral